RNAcentral lists this ribosomal RNA (250 nucleotides) under uncultured bacterium. Its description in RNAcentral is "partial 16S ribosomal RNA". It matches the Rfam family "Bacterial small subunit ribosomal RNA", at positions 524 to 773 of the family's 1533-position model. The record is from RNAcentral.
CACGUAGGGGGCAAGCGUUGUCCGGAUUUAUUGGGCGUAAAGAGCUCGUAGGUGGCUGAGUAAGUCGGACCUUAAAUCCCCAGGCUCAACCUGGGACACGGCCCGAUACUGCUCUGGCUAGAGUCCGGUAGGGGAGCAUGGAAUUCCUGGUGUAGCGGUGAAAUGCGCAGAUAUCAGGAGGAACACCAGCGGCGAAGGCGGUGCUCUGGGCCGGAACUGACACUGAGGAGCGAAAGCGUGGGUAGCAAAC